Oncorhynchus nerka (sockeye salmon) is the source of this 477-nucleotide long non-coding RNA. RefSeq lists it as uncharacterized. The transcript is spliced from 2 exons. Lineage: Eukaryota; Metazoa; Chordata; Actinopteri; Salmoniformes; Salmonidae. The record is from RefSeq and is a predicted model, not a curated record.
AAAGGACCACAAGGAGGACAAAGACAAGUCUAAGGAACAUAAAGACAAGAAACAUGGUGACAAGAAGGACAAAGGACACAAGAAGAAGGACAAGAAGCCCAAGGAGCAUAAGGACAAAGAUGAUGGGUCUUCCUCUUCCAGCAGCGAUGAGGAUGAAGGCAAGAAGAAGCAUCACUGAUUCUGGUGCUGUGAGGAGGUGCUACUGCCAGUGAACUCUUGUUUUGUACUGCAGUGUUGCCUGCAUGGUAUUUGCUGUGUACUGUUUCCUUGUUGAUCCUGAUCAUGUUUUGAUAUGCCAGACUGUAAAGUAGUGGUUUUACAACAGCACAUUAAAUAACACAACAACCAGGAUAUAUGGUGGAUUGUCAUCUAAUGUCCACCAGAAGGGGGAGGUGUUCUUCAUUGAAUAUUUAUUUAAUAUAUUCAAUUGCUUUGUUGAAGUUUUUUUUGAUAAAUUGUCCAGUUCAAAAGCUUGAA